Molecule: long non-coding RNA, 716 nt
Organism: Ciona intestinalis (vase tunicate)
Lineage: Eukaryota; Metazoa; Chordata; Ascidiacea; Phlebobranchia; Cionidae
Source: RefSeq, a predicted model, not a curated record
CCUUUUUUCUUUUUGUCUGUAUUGCGGUUUGUAUGUUUUGGCUACGGUCACAUUUAACCGCACAACAAUAAACAAGCGCAACAGUAUAUGUACUAUAGUAAAGUGUUCUUUCAUAGCCCUUAUAUUAUUCUGUAAUAAAAAAAACUAAAGGAUGAUUGAAAAAGACUGCAUAUGUUCCGAAGAAGAGUCUUUAAUUAUGUGCCGUUUGUGCGGCAAUCUGAUGCGAGGCAGGAUGAUGCAUAUAAACUGCCCUUCACACCCAAAGGUGUAUAAUUUGAUGGGGUACAAACAUUGCUCUCGUUGCAGUUGUACAAGAUUGCGAAAAGUUAAUUCAAAGGCAUAAAGGAGCCAGGAUUCUCAAACUAGUUCCAUUGCAAUUGCAAGCAAAAGUUUCAUUUCACUGCGUAGUUUCUUUCGCUUAAAUUAGGAUUUCAUUCUUUUCACUUUACGUUUUGUGUAACAUUUUUUGUUAAUAUACCACAACAAAACUGUACAUAUCUUUGCCUUUAUUUUCACUUCAAAACUGUAAAUUUUGCUGCGCACGGACCAAGUUUUGUUAUAUUUGCAUGUAUCACUGUGUGCAGUGUUGCCAGAUACGGUUGCAUGUUCAGCUUUUCUUUAUUAAAGUCCCUUCCAUUGGAUAAAUGUUCGGCAUCACUGGGUGGGGGAUGUUCCUUAAUUUAAUAAAAUAAGUAAUGAAUACUAAAAUUUCUGUA